Molecule: ribosomal RNA, 898 nt
Filed under: Staphylococcus aureus
Lineage: Bacteria; Bacillati; Bacillota; Bacilli; Caryophanales; Staphylococcaceae
Description: partial 23S ribosomal RNA
Rfam family: Bacterial large subunit ribosomal RNA
Source: RNAcentral
AACCUGAAACCGUGUGCUUACAAGUAGUCAGAGCCCGUUAAUGGGUGAUGGCGUGCCUUUUGUAGAAUGAACCGGCGAGUUACGAUUUGAUGCAAGGUUAAGCAGUAAAUGUGGAGCCGUAGCGAAAGCGAGUCUGAAUAGGGCGUUUAGUAUUUGGUCGUAGACCCGAAACCAGGUGAUCUACCCUUGGUCAGGUUGAAGUUCAGGUAACACUGAAUGGAGGACCGAACCGACUUACGUUGAAAAGUGAGCGGAUGAACUGAGGGUAGCGGAGAAAUUCCAAUCGAACCUGGAGAUAGCUGGUUCUCUCCGAAAUAGCUUUAGGGCUAGCCUCAAGUGAUGAUUAUUGGAGGUAGAGCACUGUUUGGACGAGGGGCCCCUCUCGGGUUACCGAAUUCAGACAAACUCCGAAUGCCAAUUAAUUUAACUUGGGAGUCAGAACAUGGGUGAUAAGGUCCGUGUUCGAAAGGGAAACAGCCCAGACCACCAGCUAAGGUCCCAAAAUAUAUGUUAAGUGGAAAAGGAUGUGGCGUUGCCCAGACAACUAGGAUGUUGGCUUAGAAGCAGCCAUCAUUUAAAGAGUGCGUAAUAGCUCACUAGUCGAGUGACACUGCGCCGAAAAUGUACCGGGGCUAAACAUAUUACCGAAGCUGUGGAUUGUCCUUUGGACAAUGGUAGGAGAGCGUUCUAAGGGCGUUGAAGCAUGAUCGUAAGGACAUGUGGAGCGCUUAGAAGUGAGAAUGCCGGUGUGAGUAGCGAAAGACGGGUGAGAAUCCCGUCCACCGAUUGACUAAGGUUUCCAGAGGAAGGCUCGUCCGCUCUGGGUUAGUCGGGUCCUAAGCUGAGGCCGACAGGCGUAGGCGAUGGAUAACAGGUUGAUAUUCCUGUACCACCUAUA